RNAcentral lists this ribosomal RNA (253 nucleotides) under uncultured bacterium. RNAcentral describes it as "partial 16S ribosomal RNA". It matches the Rfam family "Bacterial small subunit ribosomal RNA", at positions 524 to 776 of the family's 1533-position model. The record is from RNAcentral.
UACGUAGGCAGCAAGCGUUGUUCGGAGUUACUGGGCGUAAAGGGUGUGUAGGCGGUUCUUUAAGUUUGGUGUGAAAUCUCCCGGCUCAACUGGGGAACUGCGCGGGAAACUGUCGGACUUGAGUUCGGGAGAGGGAAGCGGAAUUCCGGGUGUAGCGGUGAAAUGCGUAGAUAUCCGGAGGAACACCGGUGGCGAAGGCGGCUUCCUGGACCGACACUGACGCUGAGGCGCGAAAGCUAGGGGAGCAAACGGG